Long non-coding RNA from Oxyura jamaicensis (ruddy duck), 2197 nucleotides. RefSeq lists it as uncharacterized. NCBI's taxonomy places the organism in Eukaryota, Metazoa, Chordata, Aves, Anseriformes, Anatidae. The transcript has 5 exons. The record is from RefSeq and is a predicted model, not a curated record.
GUACAUACGGAUAGCUCAGAUUUAUCUUCCAAGUGACAAUGCUUAUCCUGUUCACCGCAGAACUUGAGAAAGCUUUUGCUGAGCUUCAAAGUCUUACAAGGAAACCUGCUAUCAUAUACUGAGUUCAAGUUACCACUCUGUUAUGGUGGGACGUUGAGAAAAAUACCCAAAUUUCAGAUUGUGGUAUUUUGACACAAAAAGGAAAUGAACACAAUGUGUACUGUACUCAGCAACUCUGCACACUUAGUACAGGGAUCUCUUUUUUUUUCCUGUGGAAAAAGGAGUCUUAAAGGCUUUCAAAGGAGAACACUUUCAAAGGUAACCACUUUUUUAUCAUGUCCCAUAUUUUUGGACCUGAAUUUCAGCACUGGAGAUUUCAGGAACAGCUUGCUUUUGCUGAGAGUGGAAAUGCCUCUGCUGAAAUGAUCUUGUGGAAAUGGGAAGAUACAAGAAAACAUUCAAGCAGCCUGUAGCAGUCUGCACACUGCUGCAAACAGAAGGAAAGUGCACAAAGCGAAACAUGACUUGGAGGAGAAACACUUCUCGCAUGCUGUUAUUGAUUACCCCCUGUAAUACAAUGUGUCCUCAGCUGGUAACUGUGCGGCUUUUUCCACAGUUCACCAAAAACCGCCCUUCUGACUUUCCUCCUAAAAGCAUGACCUGCCUACCUUUCUGUGACUGUCAGUGUUGUUGGCUCCUCAGGCCAUUUUUCCAGGGCCCUUUUUAUUUUUCCCAGUAAUUUCCCCAUCUGCCACUUCCAAAGGUAAAACUGGUGUUGCCAGUUAUGCACAACAUUAACUGUGAAAAGUGAAAAAAGGGAGAAGCUGGAGAUAUGCCUGAGCAGUAUUUCUAUAUUACUUUCAAAUGAAAUGCAUUUUAAUGCUUUGGAAACAGUAAACAAGGUGGCUCUUGGCCAGAGGAGUAAGGUAUCUCCAAGUUGGAUAUUACCAGACUUUGGCUGCUGGAUGCUAGCUGUUUACCUGCCUGGAAAAGGUGGUAAAACCACUGCACAGGAAGGUUGCAUGUGAAGUUUCCUACAUCUGCUGGUGGUUUUUGUGGGACCUCUGGACUGGCAGGAGGGGAAAAAUGUUUUUCUAAUGAAUCUUGAGUCCUACCACAAUGUUUGGUCCUCCUCCAGCCUCUAACCAAGAUAGAAAGAUUCCUACUUGUUUGUAACAUGCACAGGGGAAAAUGCAAGAGUUAUUUCCUGGGAGAUCAUAAAAAGCUGUGCAAAUAAGAAAACAGGUUUGUCUCUUAUUUAUUUCUAACCUGAACUGUAAGACAACUUGAAUAUCCUUUUCAUGAUAGAAAUGCCAUAAGAAGUAGACAGAAAUAAUUGCCUAAGAUUUCUGUGGUUAAUGGUGGAUUAGCAAGAGGCACUCAGAGCUGAACUAGUUGUGACCUUUUCUCUAGGAUGGCAGAGCUGGCAUGAUAUCAAAACCCAUUAUCCCCACUGGUGAAGCAGAGAGAGAUACCAAAGCAGACAGACGCUCCCUGUAAUGUCUUGUCUAAGCUUCUGUAUUGAUCUUUUGCAAAAUCCUCUCCUGUCCUCUACGUCUAGCCAGCAUGAGGUGAAGUUGUACUGAGCAAUCCAAGGCACUCAAAUUACAAGAAGAGACAUUGUGAUACAAAAGCCACUUUGGGCUUUUUACUCUAGCUAUUUUUAUGAUAAAAAUUCCAUAUUUUAGGCUCUGUAAUCCAGUAGGUAGAUCACAGACACAGAGACUGAAGAGCUAUAAAUUCCUGUAAAUGCAGGCAAAUUUUCAAGAGGAGAGUCUGAACCAAGAUGCAUGUGCUUCUGCUCAUCUUGAGAUUCCUAUAGCUAGAUUCAGAUUUUCUGUUUCUUUCUUUAAAUUAGUUUUCCAUUGAUCUCUCCCAGUUAGGAGUCUUCAGCAGUUCCAAAAAUCUAGCGUGUGGUGAAAUCCUGUAGUUAAAGGAAACUUUGGAACUUUUCCAAGAUCUCAUCUGAUGCAGCUAUUUCUGAGCAUUAGGGAAUGAAGCACUAAAAAUGAGAUGCCUGCAUUUCCUGGUUAGCAAAAUAUAUUACAAUUUGUGAAAAGCAGAAUCUGAGUGAUUAGUAAAAAAAGAUUUCCGGUAUCAGUGAGCCCCUCGAAAACUCAAAAUAAUGUUUCCUAAAAUUUGUUUUAUAGGUCUUUAUGUUCAUUUACAUUUCAGUUACCUCUGCUGAAAAAAAAAA